Long non-coding RNA from Hemicordylus capensis (graceful crag lizard), 6942 nucleotides. RefSeq lists it as uncharacterized. The record is from RefSeq and is a predicted model, not a curated record. The transcript has 6 exons. NCBI's taxonomy places the organism in Eukaryota, Metazoa, Chordata, Lepidosauria, Squamata, Cordylidae.
UGAACAGAUUUUCAUAACACCCUACAUGUUGCUAUGACGGCCAGCCUCAUAAUGAGUCAAACAAAGGUGGUUGUCCCAGGUGAUAGAUUAUCAGGUGGGAGGCAGUGAUGAAAAGCCUAUGCCAUCUUUAUCUUGUAUUUGAAAAGGAGAAGAAUGCAGAAGAGGAAGUAUGAGGAGAGUGGUAGGUUAGAGCAUAUCUGGAGUUACACUUUUGCCAUCUAUCUAUAUAUUUAUUUCUCUUAGACGUACCCGUCACUAAUCCCAUGUGUGGCAGCUCUUGCAAGAGUUCAAGAGCACCUGCCAGACUAGCAACAGGGAUGGGGGAGAAAUGACGGGGAUGGGGGAGAAAAUAGGGAUGGCGGUGGUGGAAAGUAGGGAUGGAGGCAUCUGCUGCUGGGAGUUGAGUGGGCAGGAGGAGGCCCGCCAUCCAGAAAGCCAGGGGGUGGAGAAGGGGGAAGAAGAUGAGUGGGCCAGCCAGCCCAGCCGAAAGCAGGAAGCGGUGGCGGCAGCUGCCAGGAACAGGAGGCGGCAGCGAGCCGGCCUGGCCACUGAGAACAGGAGACAGUGGUGGCCCGGCCCGGCCAGCCAGAGGAAGGGAGGAGAUGGCCGCUGCUGGGAGUUGGUGGGUGGCAGGAGGUGGCGGGCCAGCUUUCCGGCUGGUCCACGAGCCAGAAAGCCUGGGAGGCAGAGAAGGGGUGGAGAAGAGCAGAGGGCCAGCCAGCGGGCCAGAAAACCGGCUGGGCCAGCAUGGGGAGUGGGAAGCGAAGGUGUCAGCCUGGGGCGUAGAUGCUCUGUGCCCAGCUCUGCUAGUUUAUAGUAGAGUUCACAGAGUUCACUCCUCUCUCUUAUCAAAUACAGCGUGUGAUCCUAAAACAUUGGCAUCUAGUUUCGGGGAUAGAAGGUUGCAGUAAUCCCCCACUCUUUGCUUAUAGGAAGACUAGGAAUUUAGGUAGCUUUUUGACAAGGGUGGACUCCCUGGAGAAAGGAGAUCAGAACACAGGGUUAAGAGGCUUUUAUCCGUGUGGGAGGUGUUCAGUUGGUGAGCAAGAGGAAUGCACGAUUAGUGUGAGAGAUCCUAACACAGGCAGUAAAAUGAACUUGGACUUUUUUGCUACGUGUGAUACCAAGGGAGUAGUAUAUGCGCUUAAAUGUGCAUGCCCCCAACUGUAUAUAGGUAAGAGUAUACGUAAAGUGAGAUCUAGAAUCCUGGAAUAUAAAUCUAGAGUGAGGACAUGUCAUAGCGAGUCACUCAUAGUAGCCCAUUUUUUAGAAAAGGGACAUACAUGUGAUGAAUUCAAAUAUUUUGUCCUUUUAAAAUACACACUGCGAAGAUUCAGUUAUGAAGAUAUGAAUACUACAUUAUUAAGGAAAGAGGCGUUCUUCAUACAAUUGUUUAAGACUUAUGUUGGAGGUCUUAAUAGCAAUCAAGAUCUUUUGUGUUUUUUGGGAGAACAUUAGGAAAGAGAGGAAUGCACACAGUUACUUUGGAAUAUCUAUGGAUGCUGUUAUCAUGAGUUUUACAGAAUCAGGAGAGAAAGAAGAAACUACCUGAUCAGUUUGGUAAAAGGACAGAGCUGUGGGUCAUUAAAACUUAGCGUGCUUAAUUGGGGAUCAGUUUAAAAAGGAAGGGUGAGCGUAGAGAUUCUAAGCAUGUCUCCACAGGCGUAUUAGUUUAAAAACCGUGGUAAGAUAAGGCCGGUAACAGAAUGUAAGCAUACAUUGCUUAUACUUAAAAUGGUUUAUCUGAAGAAGUAACAAUUAGUUAUGAAACAGAUUAAUAUCCGGAAAAUCUGUAAUAUUGCAUAUCGUUCACUGUACUGCACAUGGAUUUGGCUUUGAAAGCAUAAGGUUAAAUGACGCAGAUUGUCUCCACUUGGAAUAUAUGGAGAAGGAGACGUAUCAUCAUAUUACCGAAUUAAGAAGAGAAACAUCCUCCCCACUGGAUUCCACGGGAUUGGCACUUCUACUGUGAACUAAUACAUCUGCAGGAUAAGAACUGUUUAUCCCUAUAUGGAAAGUUGUAACAUACAUCUGGGGGAAUACUUCUUGUUAUAUAUGUUAAUGCACUUUGUCAUAUCCAGCGUGUAAGCCACUUUGGCUCUGAUACGUUUAUCAGAUAAAUUUAUUGUGGAAGUUAAGUUGACGGUCUGAGUACUACUCUUUAGAUUGUUCUAGUCACGGUGGGUUGUUUGGUUAUUUUUGUUACUAUCGAGUGACUCCUGUUGGUUUAGCAACACUACUUUCUUUUUUGACAGGUCCACUGAUCUUAUAUCCGAGUUCUUGAGUUGUUAUUGUUGCUGCACUGUACAUUAAUAGGCAAAUUAUUGGUUGUUAUUUCUGCAAGUGCAGCAUUGACAUCUUUUAAUGCCUGAACAAGUUGUUUUUUGGCAACUGUUUUUAGAGCUGGAAGUCGAACCCUGGUGGUUGUUUGGUUCAUGUGCUCAGUUAUUUUUUGCUUUAGUUCUUGUUGCUUUUCUGUUAAACGGCAUUUGGGUUUUUGAGGUGAAGGCAAAGGGGAGGUUGCCUGGUAUUGAGUUUGAAACAGUUCAGCAACAGUGGCAUCCUCUAUUUCCAACACCUCCUCCACCUGCAUCUGAGCAAGUUCUUCAGUUGAUGAUAAUUCUUCUUCCAUAUCUUGAGCCUGUGUUGCUCUUUGCAAUUCUUCCAGCUCAACUUCUGUGAAUACUUUAUUUCUCAUUAUGAAUCUUCUCUGGUCUGCUAGCCUUUGUUCUGUUAUUUCUGUAUCUGGAUGCUUCUCUUUCCAAAUUUGGUACAUUUUUUAAAAAUAACCUCUUCUAGUCGGACUAGACUUGUAAUAGCAGAUCAUUACUUCCUUGUUGGCAUUUUUCGUAUAUUUUUUUCCGGUAACCCUUCCAGUAACCCUGCAGUCUCCAGCCCUGGUUGCUCAACUGAAGAUCCUGAGUCCUGUAACCCACUUGCCACCAGAUGUUCAGGGACUCCAGCACCUGGCGCAGUCCUUGUUGACCUGGGCAACAACCGAUCCGGUACAGAUUUAUUAAAGUUACAUCUCACCAUAUUGUUGAUGGGAGAGGCACUCUUUAUCUGGCUCCUCUGGUGAUACCUGUCCAGUAUGGUUGGCCCUCUGGCAUAGCUCUCACCUUCCUCAGAGCAUGCAAGCCCCACAACCACGCCAAGAUGUGCUGGGUUCUGGUGGCUAGAUAGAAAAGGUGAGUGGAUCCAUACAACCAGAAAAGCAAGGUAGGAAAGCUCUCUUCUCCUUCUACCUUGGUUAAAAGUGGGGUACAAAAGCUGGGCUAUACUACUUCUAACAACCUGGGCUGGAGGGAUUUUCGUGAGCUCACACAAUCAUUCAAACCAGGGCAGAAUGCUCCCUACCCUCAUUUUGCUUGCUGUGUGAACAGGCCUAAUGUCUGAAUAGGACUUCUGUGCAUCAGAAAUUGAAAUUAUUUAGAUUGCCAUGGUAUUGCUAGGCUGUAUUUUCAUAACAGCAAGACAGUGUUGUUUUAUUCAAGUUUGAAUUAAUUAAUUCGAGUUAGAAUUAAUCUGUGUCCAAAUCUAACCAAAGCAAAACUUCUCAGAGGAGUGAGAAAUUAUUGUAUUUUCACAAUUGUUACAUUUGUGUUUGAAUCAGACCUGUUUUUAGAACUGUGCAAUAUUGCCUGGCUCUCACACAAUCCUGCAGUAGCUUCCAUUAGUCUGCUCUGACUGACUCCAAACAACUCCAGAUAAUAAAGAAAAGACAUUGACAGAGGUGACAGUGAGGAGGAAGGGGAAACUUGAAUAUUCAGCCCACCCACCCCUGGACUCUCAGUGUUUUAAAAAGGAUAUAGUUGCAGAGGAUAGUCUCUUCAAGCAAGUGAGCACCCAAGUCUCAAAGCAUCAAGGAAAAUGGAAAACAGUCAAGAGAGUUGAUCACCUGUGUGAGAGAAGUUACCAAUCCACACAUGAACCUGUCUCCUUAUCCCAUGACUUCUAAGUUUACUCAAGAGCCUUCGGUGGGAACUUUAUCAAAAGCCUUUUGGGAGUCCAAGCAUACUAAGUCAUCCGGAUCACCUUUAUCCACAUGCCUGCUGACACUCUCAAAGAACUCCAAAAGCACAACACAGAGUGUACAGUGGGUGUCCUGCCCACCUCCUGGUGCUUAUGAUAGGUGCUCCAGAGAAACUUCAGUCAAAUAGGAUACUAGGGUUCUGCUGCAUAUGUCAUUAAAUGCUUCACCCCAAUGCCUCCCCAUGCUGUGGACAACAUCAAGACCAUUUCGUCAUGACUAAGGCACAGUCCAGAUAGAACAUGGGGAAACAGGCUGGUUCCAGAUCAGCAAAAGUGUAAGACAAGGCUGUAUACUUUAUUUUUCUUUAUUCAAUUUAUAUGCUGAACAUAUACAUAGAGAAGCUGGAUUGGAAGAAGAUGAGCGUGGUUUUAAAGUUGGAGGAAGAAACAUCAAUAACCUGCACUACACUGAUGACACCACUCUGAUAGCUGAGAAUGCGGAUGAUCUGCAAGCUCUAGUAAUGAAAGUCAAGGAGCACAGUGAAAAAAUGAGACUACCACUAAAUGUAAAGAAGACUAGAUUAAUGGCAAUGGGUACAGCAACCAGCCUCAGAACUGAUAAUGGAAACAUUGAGGUGGUGGAUAGAUUCUGCCUUUUACGGUCAACCAUCAACAGUAAAGGAUCCAGCAGCCAAGAAAAACGCCGCAGACUAGCAUUUUGUAGGGUUUCACUUAAGGCCCUGGAAAGGAUAUUAAACUGCUGUGAUGUGUCUAAUCUAUUACAAAGAUUAGAAUCGUUUGGACAAUGGUUUUCCCCAUGACUCUCUAUGGAUGUGGAAGUGGGACUUUGAAGAAGCAAAAUAGAAAAAGCAUUGACGCUUUGAAGUUUGGUGCUGGAGAAGACUUUUGAGGAUACCAUGGACAGCCAGGGAAACAAACAACUGUAUCAUAGAACAAAUCAAUCCAGAAUUUUCACGGUUGGCACAUUUGCCCAGGCUCAAACUAUCAAACUUUGGACACAUUAUGUGAAGACCCAGCUCCUUUGAGAAGUCCAUCAUGCUGGGGAAAGUUGAAGGAAAGAGAAGAAGAAGAUGACCAGCAACAAAAUGGAUGGACUCGGUUACGACAGCAAUGAAUGCACCACUGAGAGACCAUAAAGGCCAAGUUGAAGACAAAUCAUCCUGGAGAGAAUCUAUGUGGUUGCUAAAAGUCAACACCGACUUGACGGCACUUAAUCAAGCAAGCAAGCAAGCACCACUGAGAUCUAUAAGACAUGUUAGUCAAGACUAAUUUUAAGUCUUAUUAAAUUUGAUGUAACUUCAUCAUGAUUACAUUAGAUUGGAUGUUGCUCAGUGAGUUGGGAGAAAUAAUCUGACAUUACAACUCAAGUUGUUCAGAUAGUGCCACUGCCAUCAAGUCACCCCUUUAAAGUCAAAUCAGAUAUGGGAGUUCCAUGUGUCCAAAAGAGGCACCUUGUACUUGACAUAGAGGAGUUAAGCUGCCUUUCUCUCAAGUCCUUAGCUAGACAUACCUUUAGUUACAAAGACCUGUUACAAGCCUGGCAACAUCUCUAUAAACAGGAAAACCCUAUGAUUGCCCAGAAAGUUUUUGGCUUUUGUUUCAUUUGGUGCAAAAACAUCUCUAGAUAACCUGCAGAGCAUUGCAGUACCACUAACAGAAAUGUUGACUCAGACAUUAACAGAAGUGAAUGUUUGGGCACUUCCUUUAAAUAAACAAAGAAUAUCUUUGAUCAAUUAUUCCAAGCAAAAAAGUAUUUCCUUGAAUACAAACCAAAUUUCCAUCAAGGAAUCUUAGGAUUUAAAGGUGUGUAAUCUUUAUUAGCCCUACAAAUAUUUAGCAUUCCUGAUGUGGAAUUUUUUAUUUGCUGGAAAUGUGCUCUUGAGAAGCCAGUGAGGUGAUUGGAUGCCUCAUGAAGGACAUGAUUUUGAAAGGAGAAUGUCUGUGUCACCAAGACUGCAAUCCUAAGCAUGCUUAUUAGAAACUCACUGGACUUUCUUCUGAGGAGGAAUGUUUAGGGUCAUCUUGAAUGUAGCUGCCACUAUCAGAAACAAUAUUUGUAUCUAAAAUGUAAAACUUUGCCCCCUAUUAUCAUUACUAUUAAUAUGCUUGUUAGUUUGCCUACCUAGUAACUAAGUGCUUUAAACAAAUGCCUUACUAUUAUCUAUGCUUUUAAAAAAAUAGAACUGGGAUUUCUGUCCCUCCAGUGAAAUCAUAUGAAAAAAAGCAAACUUUUUACAUUUUUGGCUUGUAGAGACACAUGCUCUUCAUGUUCCAUGAGCUGAAAUGCCUGGAAUCUUCAUAUUACAUUGUGCUGCUUUAGUGCUUGAGAUCCCCCCCCCCUUUUUAAAGAAUCAUCCUCAUACAGAUUUCCUUCCUAAUGUUCAUGGUAUCUUUUUGGUUAUCAGGAUAAUUGACCCUUGUUGACCUUAUCAGAAUUUAAAAGCUGAAGAGAAAUGCCCCACUGCUCAAAACCUGAAAUUUGCAUAUAAUAAUCAUGUAGUUGUGACUUAUGCUAAGCAAAAAAUUGCUCAGUGAUUGAACAAAAGCUAUGAAGAUAGAUUUCACUUAAGUAAUUGGCUCUCUUUCUAUUGCUUCUGGUCCAUUAAAUGUGUCAGUAAAAUACAUGAGCACAUAAGGUCAAUGAUCAAAGAAUGUUUACAGGUGUAAUCAGUUUAAAAUGGGAUAAUUAGCCGCAUUAUCACAGUUAACUGAAUUGCAGAAAUUAGAAAUGGAAAGAGCCCAGUAGGUCACUUUGUCAAUCUCACAAACCAAGCAGGAUUAUUUUCUUGAUUGCCAAACACAAUAGGAAGAUUUUAAAGACAGUGUGCUUAUAAUAUUACAUAUACAGGCAGUUAUUUUUUUAUAGUAAUAAUGAUAAUGAACAGUAGCAUCACUCACAGAUCAAGGAUUGAUGAGACCUUCUUUAUAGUAAGCAACAAUUCAUGCAGA